This 405-nucleotide unclassified non-coding RNA is filed under the name plant metagenome. Its description in RNAcentral is "partial contains 5.8S ribosomal RNA, internal transcribed spacer 2, and large subunit ribosomal RNA". It matches the Rfam family "Bacterial small subunit ribosomal RNA", at positions 358 to 777 of the family's 1533-position model. The record is from RNAcentral.
GGAAUAUUGGGCAAUGGGCGCAAGCCUGACCCAGCAACGCCGCGUGAAGGAAGAAGGCCCUCGGGUUGUAAACUUCUUUUAUCAGGGACGAAACAAAUGACGGUACCUGAUGAAUAAGCCACGGCUAACUACGUGCCAGCAGCCGCGGUAAUACGUAGGUGGCAAGCGUUAUCCGGAUUUACUGGGUGUAAAGGGCGUGUAGGCGGGAGAGCAAGUCAGACGUGAAAUUCCAGGGCUCAACCCUGGAACUGCGUUUGAAACUGUUCUUCUUGAGUGAUGGAGAGGCAGGCGGAAUUCCGUGUGUAGCGGUGAAAUGCGUAGAUAUACGGAGGAACACCAGUGGCGAAGGCGGCCUGCUGGACAUUAACUGACGCUGAGGCGCGAAAGCGUGGGGAGCAAACAGGA